AGGGGUGGGGCUCUACUGUUGUGUGUGUCACGAGGUGAUGGGCAACAGAGAGAACAGUCUCAAUAGUCUCACGUGCUUCCACAUAUUUCAUUCAAGGUGCGUGGAGAAUAGCACAUUCAAGACGAGAGGCUGUCCAAACUGCAAGAAGACUUCCCACCUCUCAUCGCCGGUACCAGUAUAGCAUCAUCCAACAGGGCUCUGCACCCCUCAGAGAGGUGUAAAGAUCACCCCCCCCCCCCUCUUCCACCACUCUCACUUCUACUACUAUCUCUUAUAGUAAACUGUGUUAGCAAUCGUCACUUUGGUGGAUCUCUUGAAGAAGACUUUGCACCUUUCCUCCACGGUUACGGUGUGGCAUCAUCUACGGUUACGGUGUGGCAUCAUCUACGGUUACGGUGUGGCAUCAUCUACGGUUACGGUGUAGCAUCAUCCGACAAUCCAGGAGUCCCUCAGAGGGGUGUAAAGUUUACCCCCCCCCCCCUCAUCUAAGACCACCACCAUCACUACUACCCCUCCGUGACCAUCCCUAAACUGCGUUGAUGGGACUUUUGAUCCACCAACGGUGUGCUUUUACAGGACAUUGCUUCGAAAAUGCAUUUUUAGCUUGAGAUGAUUGAAAAUUUUAAGUAAAUAAAGUGUUAAUGAUGAAAGUGUAGGCCUAUUGACUUUGAUAUAUACCUUGAAACAACUGGGAAUGAAUACCAUAAUGCAAUGAUGAUGAAAAAGUUAUCCAUUAUGGUUUUGCACAUAACAAAAUUAUUUAAAAUGUCAACGAGCACAUUAGCCUGACGUUUGCUCCUUUCGCCAUUAUAGACUCAAAUGACAUAAGAACGAAUUGCACAAUGUUAGUGCACCUUCUCUUAAGAGGGAAAAAAUCGAUAAAAUACAAUGUUUUUUCGUAAAGAUAUACUCACUGCGCCCUGUGCCCCUGUUGCAUAAAAUUUACUAUUGAUGGUAAACUUUGCCAUCAAUGUCAACUACCAUGGUAACAGGGCUCAACAGCCAAUAGAAAUCAAGGUUUUCAUGGUAGUUACCAUUGGUGGCAAAGUUACCAUCAAUGAUAAGUUUUGUGCAACGGGGUCCAGGACUUGAACCCUAAACUUCUCGACUGGAAGUCAACUGCAUGAAACAGUAGGCCUACACAAAACUACACAACAAUGCUAGUACAGAAUAAAUUUCCCUUUACUUUGUGAAUCUUGAGAUAUCAAUAUGGAAUCAUUCUUGGUGGGCUCUAAAGCCUCUCCAACAUUUAUAAAUAUGCUUGGGAAAGGGGGUGGGGGUAUCGUACCCCAAAAAG
This is a long non-coding RNA of Strongylocentrotus purpuratus (purple sea urchin), 1297 nucleotides long. RefSeq lists it as uncharacterized. Lineage: Eukaryota; Metazoa; Echinodermata; Echinoidea; Camarodonta; Strongylocentrotidae. The transcript has 2 exons. The record is from RefSeq and is a predicted model, not a curated record.